RNAcentral lists this ribosomal RNA (503 nucleotides) under uncultured Glomeromycotina. Its description in RNAcentral is "partial small subunit ribosomal RNA". It matches the Rfam family "Eukaryotic small subunit ribosomal RNA", at positions 591 to 1092 of the family's 1831-position model. Lineage: Eukaryota; Fungi; Glomeromycota. The record is from RNAcentral.
CCAAUAGCGUAUAUUAAAGUUGUUGCAGUUAAAAAGCUCGUAGUUGAAUUUCGGGGUUCAUCCGUUGGUCGGGCUUUUUUGGUCUGUACUGGCGUGAUGGAUUCCUACCUUCUGAAUAACCAGCAUGUCAUUUAUUUGGUGCGCUGGGGAAGCAGAACUGUUACCUUGAAAAAAUUAGAGUGCUUAAAGCAGGCUAUCGCCUGAAUACAUUAGCAUGGAAUAAUGAAAUAGGACGGCAUGGUUCUAUUUUGUUGGUUUCUAGGAUCACCGUAAUGAUUAAUAGGGAUAGUUGGGGGCAUUAGUAUUCAAUUGUCAGAGGUGAAAUUCUUGGAUUUAUUGAAGACUAACUUCUGCGAAAGCAUUUGCCAAGGAUGUUUUCAUUAAUCAAGAACGAAAGUUAGGGGAUCGAAGACGAUCAGAUACCGUCGUAGUCUUAACCAUAAACUAUGCCGACUAGGGAUCGGACGAUGUUAAUUUUUUAAUGACUCGUUCGGCGCCUUACG